GAUGAACGCUGGCGGCGUGCCUAAUACAUGCAAGUCGAGCGAACAGACGAGAGUGGUUGCCCUCUCUGACGGUAGCGGCGGGGGCGUGAGUGACACGUGGGUAACCUACCUAUUAGACUGGGAUAAACGCGGGAAACCGGAGCUAAAAACGGAAAAUAUUUAGCUGCGCAUGAAGCAAGAGUGAAAGACGGUUCUGGUGUCACUGAUAGGAGGACCCGCGGUGUAUUAGCUAGUUGGAGGGGUAACGGCUCACCAAGGCAACGAUCCGUAGCCGACCUGAGAGGGUGAUCGGCCACACUGGAACUGAGACACGGCCCAGACUCCUACGGGAGGCAGCAGUAGGGAAUCUUCCGCAAUGGACGAAAGUCUGACGGAGCAAUGCCGCGUGAGUGAAGAAGGUUUUCGGAUCGUAAAACUCUGUUGUAAGGGAAGAACAAGUACGUUAGUAACUGAACUUACCUUGACGGUACCUUACCAGAAAGCCACGGCUAACUACGUG
Molecule: ribosomal RNA, 499 nt
Filed under: uncultured bacterium
Lineage: Bacteria
Description: partial 16S ribosomal RNA
Rfam family: Bacterial small subunit ribosomal RNA
Source: RNAcentral